ACAUACGGCCACAGAUCGAGGAAAACAGAGGAUCCCGUCCGCUCUCCUGCGCUUAAGCUUUGAAUCGGUAGAUCAGUAGUUAGGUGGGUGACCACUAGCGAAUACCUACUGCUGUAUGUU
Ribosomal RNA from Coniosporium apollinis CBS 100218, 120 nucleotides. Lineage: Eukaryota; Fungi; Ascomycota; Dothideomycetes. The record is from Rfam.